RNAcentral lists this ribosomal RNA (253 nucleotides) under uncultured bacterium. RNAcentral's name for it is "partial 16S ribosomal RNA". It matches the Rfam family "Bacterial small subunit ribosomal RNA", at positions 524 to 776 of the family's 1533-position model. The record is from RNAcentral.
UACAGAGGUCUCAAGCGUUGUUCGGAAUCACUGGGCGUAAAGGGUGCGCAGGCGGCCAAGUGUGUGAGGCGUGAAAGCCCGGGGCUUAACUCCGGAAUUGCACCUCAAACUACAUGGCUAGAGCAUUGGAGAGGGUAGCAGAAUUCACGGUGUAGCAGUGAAAUGCGUAGAUAUCGUGAGGAAUACCAGAGGCGAAGGCGGCUACCUGGACAAUUGCUGACGCUCAGGCACGAAAGCGUGGGGAGCAAAAGGG